This 497-nucleotide ribosomal RNA is filed under the name uncultured bacterium. RNAcentral's name for it is "partial 16S ribosomal RNA". It matches the Rfam family "Bacterial small subunit ribosomal RNA", at positions 28 to 507 of the family's 1533-position model. The record is from RNAcentral.
GAUGAACGCUGGCGGCGUGCCUAAUACAUGCAAGUCGAGCGAACAGACGAGGAGCUUGCUCCUCUGACGUUAGCGGCGGACGGGUGAGUAACACGUGGAUAACCUACCUAUAAGACUGGGAUAACUUCGGGAAACCGGAGCUAAUACCGGAUAAUAUAUUGAACCGCAUGGUUCAAUAGUGAAAGACGGUUUUGCUGUCACUUAUAGAUGGAUCCGCGCCGCAUUAGCUAGUUGGUAAGGUAACGGCUUACCAAGGCAACGAUGCGUAGCCGACCUGAGAGGGGGAUCGGCCACACUGGAACUGAGACACGGUCCAGACUCCUACGGGAGGCAGCAGUAGGGAAUCUUCCGCAAUGGGCGAAAGCUUGACGGAGCAACGCCGCGUGAGUGAUGAAGGUCUUCGGAUCGUAAAACUCUGUUAUUAGGGAAGAACAAAUGUGUAAGUAACUAUGCACGUCUUGACGGUACCUAAUCAGAAAGCCACGGCUAACUACGUG